Molecule: non-coding RNA, 899 nt
Organism: Macaca mulatta (Rhesus monkey)
Lineage: Eukaryota; Metazoa; Chordata; Mammalia; Primates; Cercopithecidae
Source: RefSeq, a predicted model, not a curated record
GCGACUCAGCAAGACUCUAUCUCAAUGAAUAAAUAACACUGGCCUGUCAGGGCCCAAGGUGGAAAAGCGAGCUGGAAGUGAUUGGCUUCAUGACUCUGUCGGUUCUCCCCUGCCCUCCUCCUCAGCUCCCUGAUAAGGUUGUUCAAAUGGCACCGGCAUUAGUGCUGGAGUAGAGACCUGAAGGCCCCAUUUGUGUCUCUGGUUGGAGGGUAAUGGAGAGGUGUGGAUAGAUGGCCAUGGGAAACACUGCGUGGGCUCCAGAAGUGGCAAUUCACCAACUUGUAGUAAAGUAUUUUAAUAUUUUAAUGAUCGACAAAGCUGUUAACACUGUGUGCUAUCUGGAUAGAAGCCCUGUUCAUAGCACUGUGAGGUGGAGAUUAUAACCUCUGUUUUAUAGCUGUGGGAACUGAGGCCCAAGGAGAUUAAGUAAUUUUACUAUGGUUACUCAACUAGAAGGAAACAGGGAGAAAGGGAAACCUGAAGGUGAGCCAGGCUUUUAGAUGGCCAAGCACAGGCUUUUCCUGCUCCUCUAUGCAGCACCUGUUAGCCAGGACCACAUUUAUCCACCUCCUCAGUAUCUGGUCUGCUAAAUCAAGCUUAGAAAUAACCUUUGAUGGUCUCUCAUUCUGUGAGGUUGGCCUGGCUGGAAAAGUCCGCAAGAAGACCAUAGAAAGGGGUGCACCUCUACAAAGUGAAGGUUGUUACUGCCUUACCCACUCCCCUCCAAGCUUCAGGAGACCCUGGAUAUUUCCAGGCCAUACAAAACCCCUUCGAUGGCUGCUUUCCUGAAUGAGAUGGAAGUCUCUGAGACCCUCUUUUCUGAGACUGCUUUGGCAACAAGGAGUUGAAAUAUACUCUCCAGAAAGGAUUUUUUUCCCUUUUUCCUUUCCUUCCCAAAG